CAUCUACUCCCUCCGUCCGAAAAUACUUCUCAUCAAAAUGGAUAAAAGAGGAUGUAUCUAGAUAUAUUUUAAUUUAAGAUACAUCACCUUUUAUUCAUUUUGAUGACAUUUCGGACGGAGGGAGUACGUC
Non-coding RNA from Triticum aestivum (bread wheat), 130 nucleotides. Lineage: Eukaryota; Viridiplantae; Streptophyta; Magnoliopsida; Poales; Poaceae. The record is from Rfam.